RNAcentral lists this ribosomal RNA (547 nucleotides) under uncultured bacterium. RNAcentral's name for it is "partial 16S ribosomal RNA". It matches the Rfam family "Bacterial small subunit ribosomal RNA", at positions 355 to 891 of the family's 1533-position model. The record is from RNAcentral.
UGGGGAAUUUUGGACAAUGGGCGCAAGCCUGAUCCAGCCAUGCCGCGUGCGGGAAGAAGGCCUUCGGGUUGUAAACCGCUUUUGUCAGGGAAGAAAUCUUCUGAGUUAAUACCUCGGGAGGAUGACGGUACCUGAAGAAUAAGCACCGGCUAACUACGUGCCAGCAGCCGCGGUAAUACGUAGGGUGCAAGCGUUAAUCGGAAUUACUGGGCGUAAAGCGUGCGCAGGCGGUUUUGUAAGACAGAGGUGAAAUCCCCGGGCUCAACCUGGGAACUGCCUUUGUGACUGCAAGGCUUGAGUGCGGCAGAGGGGGGAUGGAAUUCCGCGUGUAGCAGUGAAAUGCGUAGAUAUGCGGAGGAACACCGAUGGCGAAGGCAAUCCCCUGGGCCUGCACUGACGUUCAUGCACGAAAGCGCGGGGAGCAAAACAGGAUUAGAUACCCUGGUAGUCCACGCCCUAAAACGAUGUCAAACUGGUUGUUGGGAAGGUUCCUUCUCAGUAACGUAGCUAACGCGUGAAGUUGACCGCCUGGGGAGUACGGCCGCAA